CCUACGGGUGGCAGCAGUGGGGAAUAUUGCUCAAUGGGCGAAAGCCUGAUCCAGCCACGCCGCGUGAGUGAUGAAGGCCUUCGGGUUGUAAAGCUCUGUCCUCAAGGAAGAAAAUGACGGUACUUGAGGAGGAAGCCCCGGCUAACUACGUGCCAGCAGCCGCGGUAAUACGUAGGGGGCUAGGGUUAUCCGGAAUUACGGGGCGUAAGGGGGGCGUAGGUGGUUUCUUAAGUCAGAGGUGAAAGGCUACGGCUCAACCGUAGUAAGCCUUUGAAACUGGGGAACUUGAGUGCAGGAGAGGAAAGUGGAAUUCCUGGUGUAGCGGUGAAAUGCGUAGAUAUUAGGAGGAACACCAGUUGCGAAGGCAGCUCUCUGGACUGUAACUGACACUGAGGCACGAAAGCGUGGGGAGCAAACAGGAUUAGAUACCCCAGUAGUC
This 439-nucleotide ribosomal RNA is filed under the name uncultured bacterium. Its description in RNAcentral is "partial 16S ribosomal RNA". It matches the Rfam family "Bacterial small subunit ribosomal RNA", at positions 338 to 795 of the family's 1533-position model. The record is from RNAcentral.